Molecule: ribosomal RNA, 425 nt
Filed under: uncultured bacterium
Lineage: Bacteria
Description: bacterial SSU rRNA
Rfam family: Bacterial small subunit ribosomal RNA
Source: RNAcentral
GAAUUGUUCACAAUGGGCGCAAGCCUGGUGACGCAACGCCGCGUGGGGGAUGAAGGUCUUCGGAUUGUAAACCCCUGUCGAAUGGGACGAAAGACCCGGGAGCUAAUCAUCCCGGGAGUGACGGUACCGUUAAAGGACGCCACGGCUAACUCUGGGCCAGCAGCCGCGGUAAUACAGAGGUGGCAAGCGUUGUUCGGAAUUACUGGGCGUAAAGGGCGCGUAGGCGGCCAUCUAAGUCAGACGUGAAAUCCCCCGGCUUAACCUGGGAACUGCGUCUGAUACUGGAAGGCUCGAGUUUGGGAGAGGGAUGUGGAAUUCCAGGUGUAGCGGUGAAAUGCGUAGAUAUCUGGAGGAACACCGGUGGCGAAGGCGGCAUCCUGGACCAACACUGACGCUGAGGCGCGAAAGCUAGGGGAGCAAACGGG